UACGUAGGGGGCAAGCGUUGUCCGGAUUUAUUGGGCGUAAAGCGCGUGUAGGCGGCCAGAUAGGUCUGCUGUGAAAACUCGAGGCUCAACCUCGAGCUGUCGGCGGAAACCAUCUGGCUAGAGUCCGGAAGAGGAGAGUGGAAUUCCUGGUGUAGCGGUGAAAUGCGCAGAUAUCAGGAAGAACACCCGUGGCGAAGGCGGCUCUCUGGGACGGUACUGAAGCUGAGACGCGAAAGCGUGGGGAGCGAACAGG
This 253-nucleotide ribosomal RNA is filed under the name uncultured bacterium. RNAcentral's name for it is "partial 16S ribosomal RNA". It matches the Rfam family "Bacterial small subunit ribosomal RNA", at positions 524 to 776 of the family's 1533-position model. The record is from RNAcentral.